Molecule: ribosomal RNA, 292 nt
Filed under: uncultured bacterium
Lineage: Bacteria
Description: partial 16S ribosomal RNA
Rfam family: Bacterial small subunit ribosomal RNA
Source: RNAcentral
GUGACAGCCGCCGCGGUAAUACGGGGGGAGCAAGCGUUACUCGGAAUUAUUGGGCGUAAAGGGCGCGUAGGCGAUUCAGCAAGUCUUAUGUGAAAGCCCAGGGCCUAACCCUGGAAGUGCACGAGAUACUGCUGAAUUUGAGUUCCGGAGAGGAAGGCAGAAUUCCCGGUGUAGCGGUGAAAUGCGUAGAUAUCGGGAGGAAUACCAGUGGCGAAGGCGGCCUUCUGGACGGAUACUGACGCUGAGGCGCGAAAGCUAGGGGAGCAAACGGGAUUAGAAACCCCCGUAGUCC